Molecule: ribosomal RNA, 774 nt
Filed under: uncultured Neocallimastigales
Lineage: Eukaryota; Fungi; Neocallimastigomycota; Neocallimastigomycetes; Neocallimastigales
Description: partial large subunit ribosomal RNA
Rfam family: Eukaryotic large subunit ribosomal RNA
Source: RNAcentral
UAUCUCUGUAGAGUCUGCAUAUCAAUAAGCGGAGGAAAAGAAACUAACUAGGAUUCCCUCAGUAACGGCGAGUGAAGCGGGAAGAGCUCAAAUUUGAAAUCUUCAAGGUUCUACCUUGACGAAUUGUAGUUUAAAGAAGUGUUUUCUGUUGGAGUUUUGGUAAAAGUUCUUUGGAAUAGGACAUCAUAGAGGGUGAGAAUCCCGUAUUUGACCAUUAUUUCCAGCUUUGUGAUACACUUUCAAAGAGUCGGAUUGUUUGGGAAUGCUGUCCAAAAUGGGUGGUAAAUUUCAUCUAAAGCUAAAUACUGGCGAGAGACCGAUAGCGAACAAGUACCGUGAGGGAAAGAUGAAAAGAACUUUGAAAAGAGAGUUAAACAGUACGUGAAAUUGUCAAAAGGGAAGCGUUUGACACCAGUGUUGUUUUCUCGAAAAUCAAUUAAAAAAGGCAGGAUUUUGUGUUGUAUUGACUUUAUCAGCUUUCUGCACUCUUUUCUUGUCUUUUUUAGUGCACUUUUCGUUUAACAAGUCAACAUCAAUUUCUUUUGUUGUAAAAGGGUCAUUGGAAGGUGGCUUUCUUUUCGGAGAAAGUGUUUAUAGCCUUUGGCCUCUGCAAUCGGAGAGAUUGAGGUCUGCAGCGUAGAUCCUUCGGGGUUAGAUACAUUUGUGCUAAGUUAUAGCCUUUCAUAGACAACUUGUUGACUAUGAUCAGUCAUGUAGCUUACUCGCUUAUGCUAUUUUACCUACGCUUAGGAUGUUGACGAUCAGCUGAGCGCG